RNAcentral lists this transfer RNA (66 nucleotides) under Ommastrephes brevimanus. RNAcentral describes it as "tRNA-Trp". Lineage: Eukaryota; Metazoa; Mollusca; Cephalopoda; Oegopsida; Ommastrephidae. The record is from RNAcentral.
AAGAUUUUAAGUUAAUAAACUGAGGGCUUUCAAGGCCCUUAAUAAAUAUUUGUUGUUUAAGUCUUG